Homarus americanus (American lobster) is the source of this 2613-nucleotide long non-coding RNA. RefSeq lists it as uncharacterized. The transcript has 4 exons. Lineage: Eukaryota; Metazoa; Arthropoda; Malacostraca; Decapoda; Nephropidae. The record is from RefSeq and is a predicted model, not a curated record.
CUCUUCAGGGCCAACGCAAGUGCUAUAUCACAUAUUUGCAAGAUUGAGGUUUACAGCUUCACACAUUGCUUCACUUGGCCUACCAGGAGUGCAUCAUUUGGGUUUGUCUGAUCUUAAGUAUGUAAAAUUAUUUUACUUGACAAACAUGAUUAACGCUAAUAAUAGGGUAACAAAAGGCAUAUACUGCAUAUGCAGAAUUUGAUUUGUGUUUUGAAACUAAGAGCUCAAUGUAAAUUCAAUUAUUGCCACAAUGAUGUAAAGAUCAUUUCAGAAUUUACUGACUCGAUCAUAUUUAAUUUUUUUCCUUCAUAUCUAUUUUUAUCAAAUUUCACGGCUGAUAAAUUUUAUCGUCAUCCCGCGGGCCACACCUGACCAUUCUAAGGGCCACAUUUGGCCCGGGGCAGUUUGUUUUUUUAGCAUGUCGUGUGAAGGUUGUCGCCAAUCUUACAUGGACGUAAUUUGUGAAUUUUGGGGUAAAGACAACGAGACCCUUCAAUUGUUUAAAGAUCACGGCAUUGUUCCUUUACAUAGAGACUGUUAAUUUCUUACAUUAUUUUCAUCAGUGAGUUCUGAUAUGAUAAUCAUUUAUUGUGGAAACCGCCAACACAGUACAGGUAUAUCACUCAACCGCCCGGGGUACAUAGUGCCGAUGUGGCAGCAUCAUCUCAAGUCCAGAAAAUGCCUCAAAUUUCACCAUAUCAUAGCAUAACAUAAGGUACAGCCAGCAGAGUGCAACACAGGCCAGGGACCCAGAGCUUUAGUAAGUAAUUGACAAUGGUGUCUGCAAGAUGGCUAUAUGGCGACGUGUAAGAAACAGCAUGUCUGUACUGUUGCUGCUUAUAGUCAUUCUUUAUAUUGGUUACUGCACUGAAGAGCUGUACGCAAGAAUACAGAACCAUCGCAAGCUUCAGAGGCUCACAGAUUAUGAAAAAGAGAUUGAUGAGCUGACAAAAAUGCUUGGAGAAUACAAGAAUGAUGCCAGCAGUGUUCAGAGGAGCAUCAAGUUAUUGCAGGAAGCUUUUGGUCACAUCAAGCUCAACCAGGAAGCAAAGACAAUGAGUGACAGAUGAUACCUGUUAAAAGUUUAUUUAAGACUUGAAAUAUUAACAUACAGACAGACUCCAACAUAGAGGAACACUCCAGCAAGACACUAAGUCACCAUCCAUGCUGUCUAACAUCAGUUAUUAUUCUCAUAUACAGUACUGUACUUCAAUCUCAUCAUAAAUAUUCUUUAGUUUGUAGUACAGUAGUUCAGUACUAGUCUUGGCUGUUUCUGGUAUAUUCUGCUGCACAAGUUAACACUUCACCAUUUAUUAUUGUACUGGACUAUUGAAACUUAGUUAUGAUUUUGUUUUUUCUUAUUAUUUAGCCUUAAGUAUAUAUAUACAAUAUAUAUACUACAUACAGUAUAUAUAUACUAUAGUACUGUAUUAUUGCUAAAUCCUGUUGCUUCCAAAAUAUAACCAGAAUUGAUGGGAUUUUGUUCAUGUCAUUAUCUCUGGAAGUUGAGACAGCUUUAUUACCACUGUUUUUAUUCAACAGUUUUUUUUUUUUAACAUUUUCCAGUAUGAUGUUCUUCCAUUUUGUGAAGAAUGAUAUCUCAAGAGAGUUUAUACCCUGUAAGAGAAGAAAAUAUACUUGUACUUGUAAUGCUGAUAUACAGUAUGUUCAUUCUGAUGUGAAAUAAUAGGUAUUUGUUGCAUAACUUAACUAGUUAUCUUAUUUAAGACUUAAGAGGUCACCUUUAUAUUCUAUUGUCAAUGUUGUCCAGACAAUUUCUUGGGACAUGUUGAAUGUCAGAAAUGUGAAACUAUAACUGGUAAAAACAUUGUUUGUGAACAUACUGUAUGUUGAUAACAACUUCAUGUUUAAUUAAUUCAGGGAUGUUUUCAGUUUCACAAACAAUACUGUACAUAAGCUUUACAAAACUUAUACUGUACACUUUUCCCACACUCAUACUGUGAUAUAAUACUGCUUGCAAGAUCAGUUCACAACAUCUUGCCUGUUAAUUAUUUCCACAUGUUCAACUUUUCCAGACUAUGGCAGUACUGCUUAUAUUUUUGAUGAGAAAUGAUUCAUCAGGUAUAUGUGUACAGAGAAAUGAUCUAAUGAAUAUCUGUGUUUGGCUUAGAGGGAAACUCAAGUAGAACUCACAAAUUUGUCCCUGAAAGACACCCAUUUCUCACACAAUCCCUUACCCAGUUGUGUCAUGUUACCUUUGAUAUCUGUAUGUACUGUACCUCUUACCAUUCAUUUCUCUCAGGUAUGCUCUUUUAGCAAUUACUCUUUCCAUGGUCUUGCUCCUGCUAUGUUAGGAUAUAAUAAACCCUUGAUAUAUUGCAGUCAUUAGUAUCACAGUUGGCUGUAUCACCACACACUAAUUAGGGAAUGUAUUUUUAUAUUAAGGGGGGGGGGGGGGCUAAGAUUAUAGUAGGCUUUGGCUGGCCAGUGAGAUCAGCAGCUCCAGUCAUCAAGGUGUGGAUGGAUGUUUCACCCUUUGGAUGUUACGACUGUGAACACUUGACCACAUCUCCCCAUCUCAAAUUUUAGCAAUAUUAAAUUAAUAUUUUAACUAACACAUUUUAUUUUAAGUACUGUACAUUAUUUAAAAAU